UAGGGAAUCUUCGGCAAUGGACGGAAGUCUGACCGAGCAACGCCGCGUGAGUGAAGAAGGUUUUCGGAUCGUAAAGCUCUGUUGUAAGAGAAGAACGAGUGUGAGAGUGGAAAGUUCACACUGUGACGGUAACUUACCAGAAAGGGACGGCUAACUACGUGCCAGCAGCCGCGGUAAUACGUAGGUCCCGAGCGUUAUCCGGAUUUAUUGGGCGUAAAGCGAGCGCAGGCGGUUAGAUAAGUCUGAAGUUAAAGGCUGUGGCUUAACCAUAGUACGCUUUGGAAACUGUUUAACUUGAGUGCAGAAGGGGAGAGUGGAAUUCCAUGUGUAGCGGUGAAAUGCGUAGAUAUAUGGAGGAACACCGGUGGCGAAAGCGGCUCUCUGGUCUGUAACUGACGCUGAGGCUCGAAAGCGUGGGGAGCAAACAGG
Molecule: ribosomal RNA, 429 nt
Filed under: uncultured Streptococcus sp.
Lineage: Bacteria; Bacillati; Bacillota; Bacilli; Lactobacillales; Streptococcaceae
Description: bacterial SSU rRNA
Rfam family: Bacterial small subunit ribosomal RNA
Source: RNAcentral